RNAcentral lists this small RNA (401 nucleotides) under Histoplasma capsulatum. RNAcentral describes it as "hypothetical RNA". RNAcentral also lists the same sequence under 1 other name. Lineage: Eukaryota; Fungi; Ascomycota; Eurotiomycetes; Onygenales; Ajellomycetaceae. The record is from RNAcentral.
UGGACUUUGUGCAGCGGGAGAGUGGAGUGGGGGAUCGGGUGGGCGGCUGUUUCCCCCUGUGGCUGUGUCCGCUGCGGCUGCGGAGGAGGGGCCGGGGUGCAACAAACUUUGGCUCGAUGCAUCCUAGAUGGGUGCAUUCGCAAGCUUCGCACCCACCCCCGUCCCCAUCGUUGUCGGACGAGGCACCACAACCCGAUGAUAUGCUUCUCAAUGUCGGCCUCUGGUGUCCGGGCCCCCCAACGGCGGACGCCUUCGUCAACGUCAAUCGCGCAAUCGAACAGAAGGUGAGCGCGCUACGGGGGACCAAAUGGCUCUAUGCCCAUACGUAUUACACGGAGGAGGAAUUUUGGGACAUCUAUGAUCGGCAGUGGUAUGAGGGGCUGCGCGAGAAGUACGGGGCU